Molecule: ribosomal RNA, 484 nt
Filed under: uncultured bacterium
Lineage: Bacteria
Description: bacterial SSU rRNA
Rfam family: Bacterial small subunit ribosomal RNA
Source: RNAcentral
CUACGUGCCAGCAGCCGCGGUAAUACGUAUGUCACAAGCGUUAUCCGGAUUUAUUGGGCGUAAAGCGCGUCUAGGUGGUUAUGUAAGUCUGAUGUGAAAAUGCAGGGCUCAACUCUGUAUUGCGUUGGAAACUGUGUAACUAGAGUACUGGAGAGGUAAGCGGAACUACAAGUGUAGAGGUGAAAUUCGUAGAUAUUUGUAGGAAUGCCGAUGGGGAAGCCAGCUUACUGGACAGAUACUGACGCUAAAGCGCGAAAGCGUGGGUAGCAAACAGGAUUAGAUACCCUGGUAGUCCACGCCGUAAACGAUGAUUACUAGGUGUUGGGGGUCGAACCUCAGCGCCCAAGCAAACGCGAUAAGUAAUCCGCCUGGGGAGUACGUACGCAAGUAUGAAACUCAAAGGAAUUGACGGGGACCCGCACAAGCGGUGGAGCAUGUGGUUUAAUUCGACGCAACGCGAGGAACCUUACCAGCGUUUGACAUC